CCUACGGGAGGCAGCAGUAGGGAAUUUUGCGCAAUGGGCGAAAGCCUGACGCAGCAACGCCGCGUGAUCGAGACGCCCUUCGGGGUGUAAAGAUCUGUCAGUGGGGACGAAACUUGACGGUACCCACAGAGGAAGCACCGGCUAAAUCCGUGCCAGCAGCCGCGGUAAUACGGGGGGUGCAAGCGUUGUCCGGAAUCAUUGGGCGUAAAGAGUUCGUAGGCGGCACGUAAAGUCAGGUGUUAAAGGCAGAGGCUCAACUGCUGAACGGCACUUGAUACUUGCGAGCUAGAAUGCGGGAGAGGUAAAGGGAAGUCCUGGUGUAGCGGUGAAAUGCGUAGAUAUCAGGAGGAACAUCAGUGGCGUAGGCGAUUUACUGGACCGUAAUUGACGCUGAGGAACGAAAGCGAGGGUAGCAAAUGGGAUUAGAUACCCGUGUAGUC
Molecule: ribosomal RNA, 440 nt
Filed under: uncultured bacterium
Lineage: Bacteria
Description: partial 16S ribosomal RNA
Rfam family: Bacterial small subunit ribosomal RNA
Source: RNAcentral